This is a non-coding RNA of Podarcis lilfordi (Lilford's wall lizard), 606 nucleotides long. Lineage: Eukaryota; Metazoa; Chordata; Lepidosauria; Squamata; Lacertidae. The record is from the annotation of a GenBank genome assembly.
CAAAGAUGGUCCAUGGCGAGGGGGAAGAUAAAGAUCCGGACUGCUGGGCCAGAAACCCUGCCAUCAAUGGUCUGCGACUUCUGGGUGUGAACUGCACAUGAUAAUGUGCAUCACAGACUGUGGGAUUUAUUUAAAACAAACAGAACCGUUGAGCCAAUGAUAUAAGCAGACUGAAGGUGUAAAGUGUAAGAAAAGCCAAAAGAAGAAUGUGCAAUGCAUUUUGUUUUUCUUCGCUGCCAUGGUUUCAAUUUUGCUGUAAUGUCCCUGCCACUAAUCUAUCAAAAAUUAUUCUGAUAUCUAUCCCCCUAAAGUGAUAUUUUCUUUAUUCUUAAGUAAGGGUGGGAGUUUACCGCAAGAUAUCCACCCCAAUUGACGAUGAAAAUAUUCUUUCUUGACGUAGCUCAACAAUACUGUGUCAUCUACAACGCCUUCUUCAGACAUUUGGGAACGGUUCUAAAAACAAAGACUGCACCAGAAUGAUCAAGAGACCAAAGUUGUUGUUUUUCAGAGAAGACCUCACAAACAACUGGACACAACAUGUAGAGUUUACAAAGGAGAAAGUGCCAGAAAAUAGCAUUAUGUGUUUUAUGUUUCUAUAGAAUGAGG